AGAGUUUGAUCCUGGCUCAGGAUGAACGCCGGCGGUGUGCCUAAUACAUGCAAGUCGAACGCGUUGGCCCAAUUGAUUGAUGGUGCUUGCACCUGAUUGAUUUUGGUCGCCAACGAGUGGCGGACGGGUGAGUAACACGUAGGUAACCUGCCCAGAAGCGGGGGACAACAUUUGGAAACAGAUGCUAAUACCGCAUAACAACGUUGUUCGCAUGAACAACGCUUAAAAGAUGGCUUCUCGCUAUCACUUCUGGAUGGACCUGCGGUGCAUUAGCUUGUUGGUGGGGUAACGGCCUACCAAGGCGAUGAUGCAUAGCCGAGUUGAGAGACUGAUCGGCCACAAUGGGACUGAGACACGGCCCAUACUCCUACGGGAGGCAGCAGUAGGGAAUCUUCCACAAUGGGCGCAAGCCUGAUGGAGCAACACCGCGUGAGUGAAGAAGGGUUUCGGCUCGUAAAGCUCUGUUGUUAAAGAAGAACACGUAUGAGAGUAACUGUUCAUACGUUGACGGUAUUUAACCAGAAAGUCACGGCUAACUACGUGCCAGCAGCCGCGGUAAUACGUAGGUGGCAAGCGUUAUCCGGAUUUAUUGGGCGUAAAGAGAGUGCAGGCGGUUUUCUAAGUCUGAUGUGAAAGCCUUCGGCUUAACCGGAGAAGUGCAUCGGAAACUGGAUAACUUGAGUGCAGAAGAGGGUAGUGGAACUCCAUGUGUAGCGGUGGAAUGCGUAGAUAUAUGGAAGAACACCAGUGGCGAAGGCGGCUACCUGGUCUGCAACUGACGCUGAGACUCGAAAGCAUGGGUAGCGAACAGGAUUAGAUACCCUGGUAGUCCAUGCCGUAAACGAUGAGUGCUAGGUGUUGGAGGGUUUCCGCCCUUCAGUGCCGGAGCUAACGCAUUAAGCACUCCGCCUGGGGAGUACGACCGCAAGGUUGAAACUCAAAGGAAUUGACGGGGGCCCGCACAAGCGGUGGAGCAUGUGGUUUAAUUCGAAGCAACGCGAAGA
This 1004-nucleotide ribosomal RNA is filed under the name human gut metagenome. RNAcentral's name for it is "bacterial SSU rRNA". It matches the Rfam family "Bacterial small subunit ribosomal RNA", at positions 8 to 967 of the family's 1533-position model. The record is from RNAcentral.